This 828-nucleotide long non-coding RNA is filed under the name Mus musculus (house mouse). RNAcentral's name for it is "predicted gene, 47407". The record is from RNAcentral. Lineage: Eukaryota; Metazoa; Chordata; Mammalia; Rodentia; Muridae.
AAGAACAUCCCUCCAUGGCCUCUGCAUCGGCUCCUGCUUUCUGACCUGCUUGAGUUCCAGUCCUGACUUCCUUGGUGAUGAACAGCAGUAUGGAAGUGUGUGUUGGGGUAUCCAGGAUUGGCUGAGUUGGGAGUGAUGGGUUCUGAUGAAGCCAUGAAGUCUUUGAAAAGAAAUGUGAAAGAUGUGCUCAGUUGUUCCUCCUGAGGGAAGGGACCACUCGUUUCUCCUUCCUUCUCUCCCCACACGGUCCCAGGGAGAAAGUGGGAAACUGUGAAGACAAAGUAACUACAAUGCUCUGCUGCAAAUUCUACAAUAACCCCAGCCCUCUAAUCCACUGUCAACUGAAGUGGGUGGCUGGAUAAAUGGAACCCCACCACCAUUUUAGAAGAAUGGACUUCACAGAACACUGUAAUUUCCAGAUGGUUCUAGUUUGGGACAGUGUGACACUCACACUUAUUUCCUAGUGUGCUUCCAUUCUCUUGGGUUUGCAACCAACUUACCAAUAAUAAUAAUACACUGUGCGCUGCUCAUGAAGCCUAGGAAGGCCACUUGUAUUAUUGCAGUCAGAUUAUUAAAGUGACUCUUGAAUCAGGGAAAUUAAAAUAAUUAGUAGUUCUAUGAAAAUUGUGUUGACAUCUGGGGAAUGAACCCAUCAUGGAGACUUCCUGAGGGGGAAAAAAAAUGUGUCAGCAAAGGAGAUAGCAAGAAAGCUGUAAAAUGCUGAGAAAAUGUUCCACAAUUCCAUGAGGCCUCUGUAUUAAGUUGUAAAUGCUAGAAGUUUGUCUUAAGUUCACCUAAACCUAAAUUUUAUGAACAAUUAUUUUUUGA